Molecule: long non-coding RNA, 211 nt
Organism: Centropristis striata (black sea bass)
Lineage: Eukaryota; Metazoa; Chordata; Actinopteri; Perciformes; Serranidae
Exons: 3
Source: RefSeq, a predicted model, not a curated record
CAGCAAUGCACGGUAGAGAGGCGCGGCUUUCGGCAGGAACUUGACUCUUGGAGGCACAAACUCAUUCACUGUGCUUUGAAAGCAUCUUGGAAGGCUUGUUUGGGCCAGGACUAGUCAAAGAUAUCACCUUUUUCCAAGACUGCGAGCCCGAGGAAGUAUCCGACUGGUCCUUCGAUGAAAACUGUCUCUUCUGCUUCAUAAGACGCGAGAA